UGGGGAAUAUUGGACAAUGGGCGAAAGCCUGAUCCAGCCAUGCCGCGUGAGUGAAGAAGGCCUUCGGGUUGUAAAGCUCUUUCGCAAGGGAAGAAAACUUACCUACUAAUACUAGGUGAGGUUGACGGUACCUUGAUAAGAAGCACCGGCUAACUACGUGCCAGCAGCCGCGGUAAUACGUAGGGUGCGAGCGUUAAUCGGAAUUACUGGGCGUAAAGCGUGCGCAGGCGGUUCGACAAGUCUGAUGUGAAAUCCCCGGGCUCAACCUGGGAACUGCGUUGGAAACUGUCGGGCUAGAGUGUAGAAGAGGGGGGUAGAAUUCCACGUGUAGCAGUGAAAUGCGUAGAGAUGUGGAGGAAUACCGAUGGCGAAGGCAGCCCCCUGGGCUAACACUGACGCUCAUGCACGAAAGCGUGGGGAGCAAA
Molecule: ribosomal RNA, 425 nt
Filed under: uncultured bacterium
Lineage: Bacteria
Description: bacterial SSU rRNA
Rfam family: Bacterial small subunit ribosomal RNA
Source: RNAcentral